AUGGGAACGCGAAGAACCUUACCUACUCUCGACAUCCAGAGAACUUUCCAGAGAUGGAUUGGUGCCUUCGGGAACUCUGAGACAGGUGCUGCAUGGCUGUCGUCAGCUCGUGUUGUGAAAUGUUGGGUUAAGUCCCGCAACGAGCGCAACCCGUUAUCCUUUGUUGCCAGCGGUUCGGCCGGGAACUCAAAGGAGACUGCCAGUGAUAAACUGGAGGAAGGUGGGGAUGACGUCAAGUCAUCAUGGCCCUUACGAGUAGGGCUACACACGUGCUACAAUGGCGCAUACAAAGAGAAGCGACCUCGCGAGAGCAAGCGGACCUCAUAAAGUGCGUCGUAGUCCGGAUUGGAGUCUGCAACUCGCCUACAUGAAGUUGGAGUUGCUAGUAAUCGCGAAUCAGAAUGUCGCGGUGAAUACGUUCCCGGGUCUUGUACACACCG
Molecule: ribosomal RNA, 440 nt
Filed under: uncultured bacterium
Lineage: Bacteria
Description: bacterial SSU rRNA
Rfam family: Bacterial small subunit ribosomal RNA
Source: RNAcentral